UACGUAGGGUGCGAGCGUUAAUCGGAAUUACUGGGCGUAAAGCGUGCGCAGGCGGCUUUGCAAGACAGAUGUGAAAUCCCCGGGCUCAACCUGGGAACUGCAUUUGUGACUGCAAGGCUAGAGUAUGGAAGAGGUGAGUGGAAUUCCGAGUGUAGCAGUGAAAUGCGUAGAUAUGCGGAGGAACACCAAUGGCGAAGGCAAUCCCCUGGGCCUGUACUGACGCUCAUGCACGAAAGCGUGGGGAGCAAACAGG
This 253-nucleotide ribosomal RNA is filed under the name uncultured bacterium. RNAcentral's name for it is "partial 16S ribosomal RNA". It matches the Rfam family "Bacterial small subunit ribosomal RNA", at positions 524 to 776 of the family's 1533-position model. The record is from RNAcentral.